AUAUCUAGUACAGGCACGGAGCCAAACUGUUACGAUCUUCUUUGAUCUUGUCUUUAGGAGAAUGCAGAGAAUUCAAUUAGGAUAGCACAUUGACUAAAGAUAAGAAUACUUUUAGCUUCCUAUAUAAUUGUGAAGCAUAAAUUAGAGUAAAACCCAAGUGAAAGGAAAAAUGAGAUUGAUCUGAAAUCCUUUUCAGUGAGAUUUAUCACUACCUACCGGUGUAUCUUUAGAUGCUCGCUCCCUCUCUUGGGGGAUGGGGAGGAAUUAAUCAGUAGAAAACAUUAAAGAUCUAACAUUUAGGUUCAAUUUGCCCAAAUCAAGACCCGAUAUAGUUUACUCCUCUGGAUUUAGUUUGGCAAGAAGCAGAUCAAUCUUUGGUCCAGUAUGAUUUCAGUUCAUUAAUCCCAACAAUAGAAAUUAGAUGUAAUGUGACAUUAAAAUCAAACAUGAUAUGUGAUUUGACAUAAAAAUCAAAUCUUGAUGUUAAAAAUCACAAAAAAAAUUCUAAUCCUCCAAGAAAUGCCAUCAAGAACUCUCAGUAUUACCGAAUACUUCAAAUCCAAACAAGCAAAUCAAGAACUAAUUAAAACCCAUUUCACAAAAAAUUAAAUGGAUUGCAAAAAAAAAGGGUAUAAAGUCAUGAGCAAACCUGUCGAUGAAAAGCUGAAGCAAGACGGCAAGAAGAUUAAUAAUACUGCAGUAGUAGUAAAUCUAGGAAAAUAUCUGAAGAACUCCAUAAGCCCCUUGUAGCUGCUAUAGAUUUUCUUGUGCUUUUUCUUUUGGGACACUCUCUGCUUAAGAUCUGCUAAAAUGCUACUGAAAAUGGGCUAAAAGAGAGAAGAAAAAUCUUGGCGGUGAGUGGCAGCUGGAACUGAGCUCACAUGGCAAGUUAGUCUAUUGAACUAAAGUGGACUUUAA
RNAcentral lists this long non-coding RNA (918 nucleotides) under Nicotiana tabacum (common tobacco). Its description in RNAcentral is "long non-coding RNA (NTAB_LNC011819)". The record is from RNAcentral. Lineage: Eukaryota; Viridiplantae; Streptophyta; Magnoliopsida; Solanales; Solanaceae.